This 193-nucleotide ribosomal RNA is filed under the name uncultured bacterium. Its description in RNAcentral is "partial 16S ribosomal RNA". It matches the Rfam family "Bacterial small subunit ribosomal RNA", at positions 338 to 524 of the family's 1533-position model. The record is from RNAcentral.
CCUACGGGAGGCAGCAGUGGGGAAUUGUUCGCAAUGGGCGCAAGCCUGACGACGCAACGCCGCGUGGAGGAUGAAGGUCUUCGGAUUGUAAACUCCUGUUGCUAGGGACGAAUGGCUCCGACCUAACACGUCGGAGUGUGACGGUACCUGGUGAGGAAGCCCCGGCUAACUCUGUGCCAGCAGCCGCGGUAAU